AACGCGAAGAACCUUACCUACUCUUGACAUCCAGAGAAUUGAGCAGAGAUGCUUAAGUGCCUUCGGGAACUCUGAGACAGGUGCUGCAUGGCUGUCGUCAGCUCGUGUUGUGAAAUGUUGGGUUAAGUCCCGCAACGAGCGCAACCCUUAUCCUUUGUUGCCAGCGAUUCGGUCGGGAACUCAAAGGAGACUGCCGGUGAUAAACCGGAGGAAGGUGGGGAUGACGUCAAGUCAUCAUGGCCCUUACGAGUAGGGCUACACACGUGCUACAAUGGCGUAUACAAAGAGAAGCGACCUCGCGAGAGCAAGCGGAACUCGUAAAGUACGUCGUAGUCCGGAUUGGAGUCUGCAACUCGACUCCAUGAAGUCGGAAUCGCUAGUAAUCGUAGAUCAGAAUGCUACGGUGAAUACGUUCCCGGGUCUUGUACACACCG
Molecule: ribosomal RNA, 434 nt
Filed under: uncultured Providencia sp.
Lineage: Bacteria; Pseudomonadati; Pseudomonadota; Gammaproteobacteria; Enterobacterales; Morganellaceae
Description: bacterial SSU rRNA
Rfam family: Bacterial small subunit ribosomal RNA
Source: RNAcentral